CCAGACUCCUACGGGAGGCAGCAGUGGGGAAUAUUGCACAAUGGGGGAAACCCUGAUGCAGCAACGCCGCGUGAGUGAAGAAGUCAUUCGUGAUGUAAAGCUCUAUCAGCAGGGAAGAAAAUGACGGUACCUGACUAAGAAGCCCCGGCUAACUACGUGCCAGCAGCCGCGGUAAUACGUAGGGGGCAAGCGUUAUCCGGAUUUACUGGGUGUAAAGGGAGCGUAGACGGCGACGCAAGUCUGAAGUGAAAUGCCAGUGCUCAACACUGGAACUGCUUUGGAAACUGUGUAGCUAGAGUGCAGGAGAGGUAAGUGGAAUUCCUAGUGUAGCGGUGAAAUGCGUAGAUAUUAGGAGGAACACCAGUGGCGAAGGCGGCUUACUGGACUGUAACUGACGUUGAGGCUCGAAGGCGUGGGGAGCAAACAGGAUUAGAUACCCCAGUA
Molecule: ribosomal RNA, 444 nt
Filed under: uncultured bacterium
Lineage: Bacteria
Description: bacterial SSU rRNA
Rfam family: Bacterial small subunit ribosomal RNA
Source: RNAcentral